UGGGGAAUAUUGGACAAUGGGCGAAAGCCUGAUCCAGCCAUGCCGCGUGUGUGAAGAAGGUCUUCGGAUUGUAAAGCACUUUAAGUUGGGAGGAAGGGCAGUAAAUUAAUACUUUGCUGUUUUGACGUUACCGACAGAAUAAGCACCGGCUAACUCUGUGCCAGCAGCCGCGGUAAUACAGAGGGUGCAAGCGUUAAUCGGAAUUACUGGGCGUAAAGCGCGCGUAGGUGGUUUGUUAAGUUGGAUGUGAAAGCCCCGGGCUCAACCUGGGAACUGCAUCCAAAACUGGCAAGCUAGAGUACGGUAGAGGGUGGUGGAAUUUCCUGUGUAGCGGUGAAAUGCGUAGAUAUAGGAAGGAACACCAGUGGCGAAGGCGACCACCUGGACUGAUACUGACACUGAGGUGCGAAAGCGUGGGGAGCAAACA
This 427-nucleotide ribosomal RNA is filed under the name uncultured bacterium. RNAcentral describes it as "bacterial SSU rRNA". It matches the Rfam family "Bacterial small subunit ribosomal RNA", at positions 355 to 774 of the family's 1533-position model. The record is from RNAcentral.